CCGAAUAAAAUCAAUUCUAGAUGAUUAAAAGUUUAAACAAAACUAAACCAAGUAAUUUUUAAUAGAUUACAAUCAAAGCCACAUAAAAAUACAUAUUCAAGUAACAAAAGUUAGUGAAAUAAAUGUGAAUAAUAAAGUAACGAGGAAAAUAGAAAACUCAAUACUAUAGAUUUUCUAUCAAAGAAACCGACUUCUAGUAAUUUAGACCUCGAGCUCUGUGAUCCUAUAGUCGUUGAUCCAAUCUUUUGGUGGAAUUGAGUUCUAUUGCAGAACUCUAGCUCCCAAGUGAACAUGAAACAAAGAAAACGAUAAAAAUUAGGAAUCUAUCAAUAAAAAAUAUGCAGGAGAUAAUGCAAACUAGGAGAAAGUAAUUUGAACAAGGGCAUAUUUAAAAGUGAGAUACACAUCCAAGACUCAAAUAGGUAUAUAACAUUCUGAGCAGUUUAUACAUUUGAAUAGGGGAGAUUAGUCAUAUAACUAAACACCAAAUAGAUUAAGUAAACACAUAACCAUGCCGAUUUUCUAAAAUCGCUAGGCAUAUUCACAACUGGACAUACACUAAGUGAGGCUUCAACCCAAAGGAUUCACAAGGGGAAUAUUUUAAGAUCAAAAUAACAUAUAGAUGGACGACAAACAAGAAGAGAAAUGGAGAUUAUCUUAAGAUGGACUGUGAAUCUUUUAUGAAAGUUUAGUCAUUUCCAACAUAAAAUUGUGAAUAUCAGAAACAAGCUUAACUUCCUAAUCCAAAAAGUGAUAGUGGCCAUAAGCGUUUUGAUGCAACAAAUGGACCAUUCAUCUAUAUGAAGGCAAAGAAAAAACUAUAUUAUUGAACAAACCACAACACCAAUAUGAACUUAAAGCCAAAGCACAUCAAAAUGGACAAAAGAGGUACACAAAUGUGAAACAAAAGAACUAACUAUUUGUGAAAGGGGAAUAAUAGAAUCAAGAAUAUAUGGAGAUCACUCUUAUGUACUUAAAACUACACAUGAAUCUGGUUGGCAGGUAAAACAAAUAGCAGUAACAAGAUGCGAUAAACACAAACAUAUUCACAAAUACUUGGCCGAAUGGGAAGACAAAGGAAUAUACAACAACUUUUACACUAUUUCGCUCCCAAUAGUUGCGAAUCUACCUUAGGAGAAAACAAACUUCAAAGUCAAUACACGCGCAAUAAAUGGCGGAACCAUGACCAAACUUGAAACCGAAGGCAAAGCACAUAUUUAUACACUUACAGACUUGCACAUUCAUAGGAAAAGUUAUUUUAUUUUCAGAAUUAAAAUAUACUCUUAUCCACAAAGUUAAAGAAAAAUAUUGUUCCCCAAAACAAAAAUAGAUGAAAGAUCAGACACACGAAGGAGAAACAGAGAACGGGUUUGCACCUUUUGUUGGGCAGCAAACCAAAGCUCCCAAGUCAAGACUCUUUCCGGCCACCAAACUCGAGUUUCAAUACUCAAACUUACACCGAAAAUAAGAUAAGAAACCAGAAAUUUUCAUGACUUUUCUUGUGAAUUUUUUUUGUGACUGUAAUCUGAAUUUUCUAAUCUCCAACCUUUUUUGUGUUCCACCUCUUCUCCCCUUUUCUCCGAUGUUUAACCCCGUCCUCAAAGGGGUCGGAAUUCAGCUAUUUAUAGCCAAAUCCGAACUUUAAAGUCCGGAUUUGAGACAAUGAAUAAGUAAAAAUGAGGGAAAAACAGACAAUUUGAAUUUUUGAAUUCAAAUUUCUAAAGAAAAUCCAUCGAUUUCAACCUUUUUCAGGACACUUGUGGCGGAUUUGACGUCAAUGAUGAGUUGUUACAUCAUUUUCGGCCCAAUUUUCCUGAGUUCAGCGAGUUUCACGUGACAAGAUGGGGCGGUCCGUGUAGAGGCGCAGCUAUGGCUGCCUAUGGCUGCCAUUUUUGUCGAUGAAAAUGUAGACAUUGAAAUUUUGUGGACUCCACAAAAAGAGUUCAAUUUUGAUUAAAUUUUUUGGGGCUACUUUACCCUAAAUCUAGAUGACUGCUCUACCUAAACUCUAAAAUUAUGAUUAUAUAAAGGGUCAAAUAUCCCUUUAAAUAGGCAUCUCCAAAAUCUUCAAAGUCCCCAAUAAAUUCAUGGGAUAUUUAUAGAUUAAAAUCAUGUCUUCUUGAUAAUCAAAUACAUCAAGAAUAAGACAAACCCUUCUUUCAUGGAGAUUAAAUCUAAAUAUUCCUACGUUCGAGAAAUACACCACUAAUGGCACUCGAAUUACGGAGAAAUUCAUAUCCAAAUUUUCUUUCUACAUUCGAGAAAUACGCCACUGACGAUCCUCAAAUUAAGGAGAAAAUCAAGAGAGAAGAAUCAAGGGAUGAAUAGAAUUGUACCCACAUCGUUUAUCAAUAAAAUUCUUGUUUCUUCAUAUUUUUAUUUGUGGUUGAAUUUUAAUUUCUAUGAAUUAAAUUAUGUUGCAAGCAGUAGAAGAGAAAAGAAAAGAGAGAAAGUCUUCAUAUUGUUGUUUUUGAGAGAGAGAGAAAUAGGUCAAUGUAUGGAGAAGGGGAAUGUGCGUAUUGGGAGUGUAAAAAGUCGUAUAAAGGGCAGAUUAUGUUGACUAUAAUUUGAACCGUCCAAUUAUUUGAUUGGACAGUUAGAAAUAAACAUCCAAAAAUAAUACUCCCACUGUUUCAAAAAGAAUGACCUACUUUCCUUUUUACUCCAUUUCAAAAAGAAUUACCCCUUUUCUUUUUUGACAAUACUUUAAUUUCAACUUUUCACAUGGCAUGUUUAGGGCCACAAGAUUAAAGGGCAUUUUGAUAUAUUUGACACAACUUUAAUUUAAGGCCACAAAUUCAAAAGUUUUUUUUUAUUUUCUUAAACUUUGUGUCAAGUCAAAGUAGGUCAUUAUUUUUUAAACGGAG
RNAcentral lists this long non-coding RNA (2867 nucleotides) under Capsicum annuum. RNAcentral's name for it is "long non-coding RNA (CANN_LNC016026)". Lineage: Eukaryota; Viridiplantae; Streptophyta; Magnoliopsida; Solanales; Solanaceae. The record is from RNAcentral.